UACGUAGGGGGCAAGCGUUGUCCGGAUUUAUUGGGCGUAAAGAGCGUGUAGGCGGCCUGGUAGGUCAGCUGUGAAAACUCGAGGCUCAACCUCGAGACGCCGGUUGAAACCAUCAGGCUAGAGUCCGGAAGAGGAGAGUGGAAUUCCCGGUGUAGCGGUGAAAUGCGCAGAUAUCGGGAAGAACACCCGUGGCUAAGGCGGCUCUCUAGUACGGUACUGACGCUGAGACGCGAAAGCGUGGGGAGCAAACGGG
RNAcentral lists this ribosomal RNA (253 nucleotides) under uncultured bacterium. RNAcentral's name for it is "partial 16S ribosomal RNA". It matches the Rfam family "Bacterial small subunit ribosomal RNA", at positions 524 to 776 of the family's 1533-position model. The record is from RNAcentral.